CUUUACAUAAUAAUUCUGUGUUCUAUGUGCAAUUUUAAAAAACAAACAUAAAAACGCAUGGCCAUAAUUUACAGCAAUUAAUUAAAAAACAGAAAAAGCCAAGAUUUAAAAAUCCAGACACAUCCCUUGUCUAGUCACAUCCCUUGUCAAGUCUGUUUGAUAUUUUGUAUUUACAAAAGAAAACCAGUGUAUCCUAAAAUUAUAU
Non-coding RNA from Pelobates cultripes (western spadefoot toad), 205 nucleotides. NCBI's taxonomy places the organism in Eukaryota, Metazoa, Chordata, Amphibia, Anura, Pelobatidae. The record is from the annotation of a GenBank genome assembly.